UAGCUUGCUAGUUGCUGACGAGUGGCGGACGGGUGAGUAACGCGUAGGAAUCUACCGAGUAGUGGGGGACAACAGUUGGAAACGACUGCUAAUACCGCAUAAUCCCUGAGGGGGAAAGGAGGGGAUCUGUUUACAGACCUUUCGCUAUUUGAUGAGCCCGCGUGAGAUUAGCUAGUUGGUGAGGUAAUGGCUCACCAAGGCGACGAUCUCUAGCUGGUCUGAGAGGAUGAUCAGCCACACUGGAACUGAGACACGGUCCAGACUCCUACGGGAGGCAGCAGUGGGGAAUAUUGCACAGUGGGGGAAACCCUGAUGCAGCCAUGCCGCGUGUGUGAAGAAGGCCUUCGGGUUGUAAAGCACUUUCAGCGAGGAGGAAAGGAGUAUGUUUAAUAAACGUGCUCUGUGACGUUACUCGCAGAAGAAGCACCGGCUAACUCCGUGCCAGCAGCCGCGGUAAUACGGA
RNAcentral lists this ribosomal RNA (463 nucleotides) under uncultured Gammaproteobacteria bacterium. RNAcentral's name for it is "bacterial SSU rRNA". It matches the Rfam family "Bacterial small subunit ribosomal RNA", at positions 74 to 529 of the family's 1533-position model. Lineage: Bacteria; Pseudomonadati; Pseudomonadota; Gammaproteobacteria. The record is from RNAcentral.